Molecule: RNA transcript, 2496 nt
Organism: Mangifera indica (mango)
Lineage: Eukaryota; Viridiplantae; Streptophyta; Magnoliopsida; Sapindales; Anacardiaceae
Gene name: probable cytochrome P450 313a4
Exons: 7
Source: RefSeq, a predicted model, not a curated record
CGGUUGGCUGACUGGGUUGCGCGCCCACCGCAUUGACAGCUUUAAUAAAUGUGGUAACGUCCGUCCCCAUUUAUGAGCUUCCCCGUAACAUGGGAGACCGGAGACCUUUGUGUAAUAUAGUUGAAGAGAUAAGCCCACCUGACAUCUACGUGGCACGCACCUUUCACCAUUAUUAAUUUUCACAACCUUCACGACACAAGCCAAGCCAAGCCAAGCCAGCUAUCCCAUUACACAACUCAUUACCCAAAUGAAAGUCUAACACGAAACAACUAUGAGUUCUUCGAUUUUGUUGAAGGAUUAUGCUCAGUGGGAACUCAACGCCUUUCUUUGGAUAUCUCUCAUCACAGUCACUUUCCUUUUGUUGAAAAAAGUUAUAAAAUUGUUCACUCUUUGGUUUCAGGCUAAGUCCAUUCCGGGUCCGCCUUGUUCUUCCUUUUAUGGCCAUUCUGAUCUCCAUUCUCGUCGGAGUCUCACUGAGGUUUUGUCACAAUCGCAUGAUAAGUAUGGAUCGGUUGUCAAGCUUUGGUUGGGUCCAACUAAAUUAUUGGUGUCUAUUAACGAGCCUGUGCUUAUCAAAGAGAUGCUUUUAAAGGCUAAGGAUAAAUUGCCUUUGACUGGAAGGGCUUUCAGUUUGGCCUUUGGACAGUCCAGCCUAUUCGCUUCCUCUUUUGAUAAGGUACAAAAGAGACGAGAAUCAUUAGCGUUGGAGUUGAAUGGAAGGUUGCUUGAGACAGAAAAUGUAAUUCCUACAAGGGUUGUGGACUCUGUCAUGGAUAGAAUACAUGGGAUCAUGGUCAAAGGAAGUAGUGAUUGUGGAGUUAUUUCUCAAAAAAUGGCUCUUACUAUGUUGGGAGCCACAAUUUUUGGAGAUGCUUUUUUGGCUUGGUCCAAGGCAACUGUAUAUGAGGAGCUUCUCAAGAAAAUUGCUAAGGAUACUUGCUUUUGGGCCUCUUAUAGUGUUACUCCCUACUGGAAACGUGGAUUUUGGAGAUACCAGCAUAUCUGCACAAGAUUGAAAUGUUUAACUCAAGACAUCAUUAAGCAAUGCCGCAAAAACUGCAAGCUAUUUUUCCAUUUGGAUCAAAGCUCUGAUAAUGAAACCUCAAAAACUGGAAUGGAAACUGCACUAGGUGGACCAUCUUGUUCUGAUGUUCCUGUACCUGAUAACUUAUUCUCACAAGGGCUUAUUGGGAGACUUAAUGUCAGAGAAGAACCAUGUGCAAAUCUUAUGGGUGUGAUGUUUCAUGGAUACUUAACGAUGACAGGUUUGAUUGCUAAUGUCCUGGCAAGGCUUGCUACACAUCAGGAGAUACAAGAUAAGAUAUAUAAGGAGAUAAUUAUGGCACGGAAGGGGUCUGUGAAGCAAGAACAACAAAGUGUUGACAAGAUGCUCUUAUUAUUGGCAACUGUUUAUGAAUCUUCUCGUCUCCUGCCUGCUGGACCUUUGUUACAGAGAUGCUCUCUGAAACAUGAUUUGACUCUUAAAAAUGGUGUAAUCAUUCCUGGUGGAGCCGUGCUGGUUGUACCUGUACAGUUGGUACAGACAGACAAGUGUAGUUGGGGAAGUGAUUCUGGCCAAUUUAAUCCAUACCUUUUUUGUCAGAGAUCAGAAAGCAAUCUAAUGAAGUGUGCAAUAAAUCGUUGACAGGUGCCCUAGAGGAGGAUGUGGAUCCAAGAGACACCUCAUUUGUUUUGAAGGAUCCAAAUGACAAUGCAGCAUUUCUUCCCUUUGGCUCUGGCAGUCGUGCUUGUGUUGGCCAGAAAUUUGUUAUUCAUGGAGUUGCUACUUUAUUUGCAUCAUUGCUUGAAUGCUAUGAGAUAAGGCUGCAGCCAGGGUCGGAGAAUAACCCGAAACCAACAUUGAACAAUUGUGUCUACCAACUUUUUACCAGUCCAGAGGUACUUUUUGUGCGAAGAAGUACCUAAAACUGACAAAGCACACACGCUUUAGGGUUUGUCACUCUGUCAUUAUUAAAUCAUUUGUUAAUGAAAUCCCAGGUUUUUGAUGAAGUCAUUUUUCCUGAUGGGGAAGGUUUUGUGUUUUAGGUUCAUUAGCUGUUAUGGGGGGAUCAUGUUGCAUGAGUGCACUUUUGUGACUCAUUUUUUCAUUCCCUCCCUGCUUUUUAAACUUGUUUUUUAAGCACUUUGAGCCUAUUUAUAUAUAUAUAUAUAUAUAGAUAUGGUUUUCUUUCCCAUCUUUGAACGUAAGAAAGACUUUCUUCCAACUUUUUUCUCUCCAGCACUGGAAGUUGGGUCUCAUAUUGUCACUGAAUCAUAUGUAUAACACUACUUGUGCUAGUUGCUUUGUGAAAUAAAAUUUGCAUAAACUUUGGGUAAGGGUUAGUUUGGUAUUGCAGUUAAUUGUAAUGGGAAGUGGAGAUUUUAGCAAUUUAUGUUGUGAAAUUGAUAUAGUUUUGGAUUUGGUGGUGAUUGUGUGUAAAAACAGAUAUUAUUUUUUGAAUUGUGGAAGAAAAAAGAUUGAUAAGUAUUAUUGAA